CAUAACAUGUAUGAUUGACUUGUAUCCCCCCAAAACAUAUAAAACAUUUGAAAGGUUCAUUAAGGGGUAUGAACUCACCGUUUAUCGAAGGGUUCGAGUGUCAACGGAUGCCCUGAUUGCCAAUGGUUCCUAUAAAUCAUGUGGUGACACACAAUUGGGUUAGAACUAGGAUGUUUCAUGCUUAAACAUGAUGGAUAAACAUUCUCAGGGAUCGGCAUUACUGAAUACUAGUGUCUCAGGAUCCAUACUUAAUGAUUCAUGCAAGUUUAGGGUCAAAAGUGGGCAUUUGAGUGAGUGCAUGGCCUAGAAAUUGAGUGUGCGGCUAAGGUGUGCGGCCAGAUGUGUGUGUGUGGCUGCACACAAGUGUGUGCAGCUGUUUAGAGUGUGUAUGCGGCCGUACAUAGGAGUGUGCGGCCGNUUUGAGUGAGUGCAUGGCCUAGAAAUUGAGUGUGCGGCUAAGGUGUGUGGCCAGAUGUGUGUGUGUGGCUGUUUAGAGUGUGUGUGCGGCCGUACAUAGGAGUGUGCGGCCGUAAACUCCCUUUGUGAGUCCAAAUGAGGUGUUUGCUCUUCACAUUAAGGAGAUUGGAAUGUGUGCUGCCCCUUCAUGAAUGUGUGCUGCCCCUUCAUGAAUGUGUGCGGCCGUACACCUUCA
RNAcentral lists this long non-coding RNA (652 nucleotides) under Lactuca sativa (garden lettuce). Its description in RNAcentral is "long non-coding RNA (LSAT_LNC008789)". The record is from RNAcentral. Lineage: Eukaryota; Viridiplantae; Streptophyta; Magnoliopsida; Asterales; Asteraceae.